AUGAACGCUAGCGGCAGGCUUAACACAUGCAAGUCGAGGGGCAGCAUGAACCGACCUUCGGGAAGGUUUGAUGGCGACCGGCGCAAGGGUGCGUAACGCGUGAGCAACUUGCCCGUUUCUGGGGGAAUAACCGGUGGAAACGCCGACUAAUACCCCCAUAGCAUCAACUUAGGGCAUCCUUAGUUGAUUAAAGAAUUUCGGAAACGGAUAGGCUCGCGUGACAUUAGCUAGUAGGCGGGGUAACGGCCCACCUAGGCUACGAUGCAUAGGGGUUCUGAGAGGAAGGUCCCCCACACUGGUACUGAGACACGGACCAGACUCCUACGGGAGGCAGCAGUGAGGAAUAUUGGUCAAUGGUCGAGAGACUGAACCAGCCAAGUCGCGUGAAGGAAGACGGUUCUAUGGAUUGUAAACUUCUUUAGUCGGGGAGCAAAAAGAGUGACGAGUCACUAAUUGAGCGUACCCGAAGAAUAAGCAUCGGCUAACUCCGUG
This 492-nucleotide ribosomal RNA is filed under the name uncultured bacterium. RNAcentral describes it as "bacterial SSU rRNA". It matches the Rfam family "Bacterial small subunit ribosomal RNA", at positions 29 to 507 of the family's 1533-position model. The record is from RNAcentral.